RNAcentral lists this transfer RNA (69 nucleotides) under Nesophrosyne haleakala. Its description in RNAcentral is "tRNA-Val". The record is from RNAcentral. Lineage: Eukaryota; Metazoa; Arthropoda; Insecta; Hemiptera; Cicadellidae.
CAAACUAUAGCUUAUUUUUUAAAGCUUUUUAUUUACAUUAAUAAGAAAACAUUAUUUUGUUUAGUUUGA